This 366-nucleotide RNase P RNA is filed under the name Plebeiibacterium marinum. RNAcentral describes it as "RNase P RNA component class A". It matches the Rfam family "Bacterial RNase P class A". From Rfam's summary of the family: Ribonuclease P (RNase P) is a ubiquitous endoribonuclease, found in archaea, bacteria and eukarya as well as chloroplasts and mitochondria. Its best characterised activity is the generation of mature 5'-ends of tRNAs by cleaving the 5'-leader elements of precursor-tRNAs. The record is from RNAcentral. Lineage: Bacteria; Pseudomonadati; Bacteroidota; Bacteroidia; Marinilabiliales; Marinilabiliaceae.
AUAGCAAGUCAGUCUAUCGCCAUUUAUGGAGGAAAGUCCGGGCAAUAUAGAGUACCAUGCUUCCUAACGGGAAGCUAUCUGAAAGGAUAGAGUAAUGCAACAGAAAAUUACCGCCAGUCAUUGACUGGUAAGGGUGAAAAGGUGAGGUAAGAGCUCACCGGUACUUAUGGUAACAUAAGUAGCCGUGUAUCUCAUGGAUUGCAAGACCAAAUAUAUCACGAUUUCUUCGGAUACAGAGCUACUCGCUUUGAUGUUUACAGUCGUGAGGGGUAGGUUGCUGGAAAUUAUGGGUGACCAUAAUUCAAGACAAAUGAUAGACCGUUUCUUCGGAAAUGACAGAACCCGGCUUAUCGACUUGCUAUUUUU